GAUGAAGAACGCAGCGAAAUGCGAUACGUAAUGUGAAUUGCAGAAUUCAGUGAAUCAUCGAAUCUUUGUACGCAUAUUGCGCUCUCUGGUAUUCCGGAGAGCAUGCUUGUUUGAGUAUCAGUAAACACCUCAACUCCCUUUUCUUUUUUGAAAUUGGAGCUGGACUUGAGUGAUCCCAACGCUUUCUUCCAAGAAAGUGGCGGGUUGCUUGAAAUGCAGGUGCAGCUGAACUUUUCUCUGAGCUAUAAGCAUAUCUAUUUAGUCUGCCUAAAAAACAGAUUAUUACCUUUGCUGCAGCUAACAUAAAGGAGACUAGUUCUUGUGCUGACUGAUGCAGGAUUCACAGAGACAGCUUCGGCUGACUUUGUAAACUCGAUCUCAAAUCAAGUAAGACUACCCGCUGAACUUAAGCAUAUCAAUAAGCGGAGGA
RNAcentral lists this unclassified non-coding RNA (430 nucleotides) under soil metagenome. RNAcentral's name for it is "partial contains 5.8S ribosomal RNA, internal transcribed spacer 2, and large subunit ribosomal RNA". The stretch from base 1 to 120 matches the Rfam family "5.8S ribosomal RNA", at positions 35 to 154 of the family's 154-position model. The record is from RNAcentral.